GACGAACGCUGGCGGCGUGCCUAAUACAUGCAAGUAGAACGCUGAAGGAGGAGCUUGCUUCUCCGGAUGAGUUGCGAACGGGUGAGUAACGCGUAGGUAACCUGCCUGGUAGCGGGGGAUAACCAUUGGAAACGAUAGCUAAUACCGCAUAAGAGUAGAUGUCGCAUGACAUUUGCUUAAAAGGUGCAACUGCACCACUACCAGAUGGACCUGCGUUGUAUUAGCUAGUUGGUGAGGUAACGGCUCACCAAGGCAACGAUACAUAGCCGACCUGAGAGGGUGAUCGGCCACACUGGGACUGAGACACGGCCCAGACUCCUACGGGAGGCAGCAGUAGGGAAUCUUCGGCAAUGGACGGAAGGCUGACCGAGCAACGCCGCGUGAGUGAAGAAGGUUGUCGGAUCGUAAAGCUCUGUUGUAAGAGAAGAACGAGUGUGAGAGUGGAAAGUUCACACUGUGACGGUAUCUGACCAGAAAGGGACGGCUAACUACGUG
Molecule: ribosomal RNA, 495 nt
Filed under: uncultured bacterium
Lineage: Bacteria
Description: partial 16S ribosomal RNA
Rfam family: Bacterial small subunit ribosomal RNA
Source: RNAcentral